GUGGGGAAUAUUGGACAAUGGGCGCAAGCCUGAUCCAGCCAUGCCGCGUGAGUGAUGAAGGCCCUAGGGUUGUAAAGCUCUUUCAGUGGGGACGAUAAUGACGGUACCCACAGAAGAAGCCCCGGCUAACUCCGUGCCAGCAGCCGCGGUAAUACGGAGGGGGCUAGCGUUGUUCGGAAUUACUGGGCGUAAAGCGCGCGUAGGCGGCUUGACAAGUUGGAGGUGAAAGCCCGGAGCUCAACUUCGGAAUUGCCUUCAAGACUGUCUCGCUCGAGGCAGGGAGAGGAGAGCGGAAUACCCAGUGUAGAGGUGAAAUUCGUAGAUAUUGGGUGGAACACCGGUGGCGAAGGCGGCUCUCUGGCCCUGAUCUGACGCUAAGGCGCGAAAGCGUGGGGAGCAAACAGGAUUAGAAACCCGGGUAGUCC
Molecule: ribosomal RNA, 425 nt
Filed under: uncultured bacterium
Lineage: Bacteria
Description: partial 16S ribosomal RNA
Rfam family: Bacterial small subunit ribosomal RNA
Source: RNAcentral